CCUCCAACUUUGUGUUUUUCCUGCAGUUAAGAAUUGCCAUCGUUUUUCUUUUGCUUAGUUUUCAAAAAUAGCUAUUGCUAAUAUUUUCUGAAUGUUCUGUGUAUAUCUGUUAAACAUCUAGCAACGCUUUUCUUCCAAAUGCCCAAGUGUCUGAAAUAAUCGCUCACUAUCCCCUCCUCUACUGCCAGAGAUCUCCCUUCUUUGCCCUGUCAUCUUGCUACAAAAAGAUAACAUCUUGUUACCCUCUAUACCUGGGGCUCAGGUGUCAUCUGAGGACUUCUUAGCAUCAGUCUUCUUCUUUGCGUUGCUUCUCUGUUUUCUGGAGUCCCUUUGUUCCUUGUUCUUGGCUUAGUCUUUUAUUUCACUGAAUCAUAUCCCUCACUACCUUCCUAAGAAAAGGUGUGUAGGAGGUAAAAAUUUUGAGUUUUUACAUGUCUGGAAAUGUCUUUAUUCCACAGUUAUCCUUUAUUUGGCUAAGUAUAGAAUGCCAGGAUAAAAAUAAUUUUCACUCAGAACUUUGGGUGCCCAACACUACUCUCCUCCUGAACUGCUGUUGUAUUCCUUCAUACACGACCGAGUCUCACUCUGUCACCUAG
RNAcentral lists this long non-coding RNA (596 nucleotides) under Callithrix jacchus (white-tufted-ear marmoset). RNAcentral describes it as "lncRNA (ENSCJAG00000074979.1)". Lineage: Eukaryota; Metazoa; Chordata; Mammalia; Primates; Cebidae. The record is from RNAcentral.